GAGAAAUAAAGACAGCUCGUCGGAUGAUUCAAUGAACACGUCACAUCAACACGUGUGUGACAUGUGUUACUUAUCUAAAUGGAGAAAAACAACAUGGAAGUCAAGUUGUCACACAGUGACAUUUAUGGACUCUCUCUCCCCGCCCCCCUCUCUCUCGCUCUACCCCCAACAUUCCACACAUGCGGAGAAGCAACAAGCUACCAAACGAGCAGCAACAGCUAGCGGCUAUUCUCCGCUGGGGGGGGACGCGGUGCAUUAACGGUGCAAAAGUUUCGAAACACGGGUUCCUGGUGCUGAAUACAGACAAGAGCGACGCCGGGCGAAUCCUGAGACGGCUGCCGGAACCAUGGCUGACAGCUGGCGUUUGUAACGGCGAGUUAUUUGACGUUAUUUGACGCUUCAAAUGUGCGGAAAGUCGCUCGCUCUCGCCUCGUCGCCGAACAAGAUGGACGCAGCGGCAGCAACGCCGUCGUUGCAGGAUCUGACCGCGGUGCCGUCCCCCGAAGCGCUGGGUGCUGCGAUUAAUGGCUACCACUGAAGGCCUGGUCUUGUGUCCCUGCGGGAUAUCAGGCUACCUGUGCUUGGCAGUAAGAGGCCAGCUCCGUGACCUGCCAGCAGCCUCUCCCUCAAUGACCGGCCAUGGCCUCUUGUCAAGCGCACACCGGCUGAUAGGGCUUCUUCUGUUGCUUUCACUGGGACUUUUGUCAGUUGCAGUGAUCUCCAAUGGCAACCUGCUUGCUGUCUUUCUUUGGCGAUUUAGUUUUGGAACGUUUCAUUUUACAGGUAAACGUACUCUCCUUGAUUUGACACUUUGAGAGUCACAUCAAAUCAGUAACAAAAUCGGCCUACUACCACCUCAAAAAUGUAGCACGACUUGGAGGGCUUAUGUCAGCUCAAGACUUAGAAACACUUGUACAUGCCUUUAUAACUAGUAGGCUAGACUAUUGUAAUGGUCUCCUUGCAGGUCUUCCAAAAAAAGAGUAAAUACAAAUCAUGGGAAAGCAUCAUUUAGUUACUACGCAACAAACAGCUGGAAUAAACUUCCUGAACUUUUAAGACUUGCCCCAACUCUGACCACGUUUAAAACAAGACUGAAAACUUUUAUUUUCAGCUUCGCCUUCUGCUAAACUUUAC
This is a long non-coding RNA of Gasterosteus aculeatus aculeatus (three-spined stickleback), 1134 nucleotides long. The record is from Ensembl. NCBI's taxonomy places the organism in Eukaryota, Metazoa, Chordata, Actinopteri, Perciformes, Gasterosteidae.